AAACCAGGGUCAAAAGAGAGGAGUAAUGUAGAAAAAUUGAAUGUGCCAUUUGUAGAGGUUAAAAAAGCAAACCAAUGUAACUGCAAUUACUGAGGUCGUAAUGGAGAUUGUUAGUAUCAAGAUUUUAUUCGCAAGGCCUCAUAUUACUGUAUUGCAGCAAAGGUUGUCACAAUUGUGUUAUUCCCAGCACUGCACUUCAAUCUCGAGUCAGUGGUGGUCUCGGGACAACCGAGGUGCCAGUAAAGCGGCCCAUUCAACUACGGGCAGGAGGGCCAGCAGAUGGGAGGCGGCCCCCGAAGCGCGGCUCAGCGGGGUCAAGUCGCCCUCCCUGCCAUGCCAGUCAGCAAGCGUUGAAGGUCCAUGGUGGCUCGAUAUGCAAUGUCAACAACUCCAACAAGGGAGAUCGAUGCUCUUCUCUUCGGACGCAUGAUUUUCUGUGGCCUUCCUGACGCAACCUGGGAACCAAACCGAAGCCAGAUGCAGGAGAAGCAGCAACGUGACGUGCAAGCAAAUCCCUGCCAAUGGAACUCAAAAAGGAUGCAUAUUUAUCAAAUGAUCACCAAAAACCUUUC
Hippocampus comes (tiger tail seahorse) is the source of this 572-nucleotide long non-coding RNA. RefSeq lists it as uncharacterized. The transcript is spliced from 3 exons. The record is from RefSeq and is a predicted model, not a curated record. Lineage: Eukaryota; Metazoa; Chordata; Actinopteri; Syngnathiformes; Syngnathidae.